GUCCACGCCCUAACGAUGGGCACUAGGUGUGGGAGGUAUCGACCCCUCCCGUGCCGCAGCUAACGCAUUAAGUGCCCCGCCUGGGGAGUACGGUCGCAAGAUUAAACUCAAAGGAAUUGACGGGGCCCGCACAAGCGGUGGAGCAUGUGGUUUAAUUCGACGCAACGCGAAGAACCUUACCUGGGCUUGACAUCCCUGGAACCCCUGUGAAAGCAGGGGGUGCCUAGAAAUAGGAGCCAGGAGACAGGUGCUGCAUGGCUGUCGU
RNAcentral lists this ribosomal RNA (265 nucleotides) under uncultured bacterium. RNAcentral describes it as "partial 16S ribosomal RNA". It matches the Rfam family "Bacterial small subunit ribosomal RNA", at positions 793 to 1055 of the family's 1533-position model. The record is from RNAcentral.